This 313-nucleotide ribosomal RNA is filed under the name Podarcis cretensis. Its description in RNAcentral is "partial large subunit ribosomal RNA". It matches the Rfam family "Bacterial large subunit ribosomal RNA", at positions 2024 to 2536 of the family's 2925-position model. The record is from RNAcentral. Lineage: Eukaryota; Metazoa; Chordata; Lepidosauria; Squamata; Lacertidae.
ACGGACUAGCCAAUGAAAUUGAUCCUUCAGUACAAAAGCUGAAAUUAACCCAUAAGACGAGAAGACCCUGUGGAGCUUCAAAACCAAAACCACUAAACAUGCCUCCUGGUUUUUUAGUUGGGGCGACUUUGGAGCAAAAAAAACCCUCCAAAACAUAAAUCUAUUUAUUAAGAACAACACACCAAAAAUAAUAUUAUAGACCCAGCAGUAUUAAUUUACUGUCUGAUCAAUGAACCAAGUUACCCCAGGGAUAACAGCGCUAUCCUCUUCUAGAGUCCUUAUCGACAAGGGGGUUUACGACCUCGAUGUUGGA